RNAcentral lists this ribosomal RNA (506 nucleotides) under uncultured bacterium. Its description in RNAcentral is "bacterial SSU rRNA". It matches the Rfam family "Bacterial small subunit ribosomal RNA", at positions 21 to 518 of the family's 1533-position model. The record is from RNAcentral.
GGCUCAGGAUGAACGCUGGCGGCGUGCCUAACACAUGCAAGUCGAACGGGACUUAUUGAGACGAUUUCGGUCUGAUCUUAAGUUUAGUGGCGGACGGGUGAGUAACGCGUGGACAACCUGCCUUUCACAGGGGGAUAGCAGCUGGAAACGGCUGGUAAUACCGCAUACGCUCGUGUCACCGCAUGGUGAUAUGAGGAAAGAUUUAUCGGUGAAAGAUGGAUCCGCGUCUGAUUAGCCAGUUGGCGGGGUAACGGCCCACCAAAGCGACGAUCAGUAGCCGGCCUGAGAGGGCGGACGGCCACAUUGGGACUGAGACACGGCCCAGACUCCUACGGGAGGCAGCAGUGGGGGAUAUUGCACAAUGGGCGCAAGCCUGAUGCAGCGACGCCGCCGUGAGUGAAGAAGUAUUUCGGUAUGUAAAGCUCUAUCAGCAGGGAAGAAAGGCCCGCAAGGGAGAUGACGGUACCUGACUAAGAAGCCCCGGCUAACUACGUGCCAGCCGCCGC